This 625-nucleotide ribosomal RNA is filed under the name uncultured bacterium. RNAcentral's name for it is "bacterial SSU rRNA". It matches the Rfam family "Bacterial small subunit ribosomal RNA", at positions 43 to 714 of the family's 1533-position model. The record is from RNAcentral.
CAGGCCUAACACAUGCAAGUCGAGCGAAGUCUUCGGACUUAGCGGCGGACGGGUGAGUAACGCGUGGGAGCGUGCCCUUCGGUACGGAAUAGCCCAGGGAAACUUGGAAUAAUACCGUAUGCGCCCUUCGGGGGAAAGAUUUAUCGCCGAGGGAUCGGCCCGCGUCUGAUUAGGUUGUUGGUGGGGUAAAGGCCCACCAAGCCGACGAUCAGUAGCUGGUUUGAGAGGAUGAUCAGCCACACUGGGACUGAGACACGGCCCAGACUCCUACGGGAGGCAGCAGUGGGGAAUCUUGGACAAUGGGGGAAACCCUGAUCCAGCCAUGCCGCGUGAGCGAAGAAGGCCUUAGGGUUGUAAAGCUCUUUCAACGGUGAAGAUAAUGACGGUAGCCGUAGAAGAAGCCCCGGCUAACUCCGUGCCAGCAGCCGCGGUAAUACGGAGGGGGCUAGCGUUGUUCGGAAUUACUGGGCGUAAAGCGCGCGUAGGCGGGUUGGUAAGUCAGGGGUGAAAUCCCGGAGCUCAACUCCGGAACUGCCCUUGAUACUGCCAGCCUGGAGAUCUGGAGAGGUGAGUGGAAUUCCGAGUGUAGAGGUGAAAUUCGUAGAUAUUCGGAGGAACACCAGUG